UACGAGGGGGGCGAGCGUUGUUCGGAAUUAUUGGGCGUAAAGGGUGCGUAGGCGGUUUGGUAAGUCUUGUGUGAAAGCUCCGAGCUCAACUCGGAAAAGCAUUGGAAACUAUUCCGCUAGAGGGUCGGAGGGGAGACUGGAAUUCUCGGUGUAGCAGUGAAAUGCGUAGAUAUCGAGAGGAACACCAGUGGCGAAGGCGAGUCUCUGGACGACUCCUGACACUGAGGCACGAAAGCUAGGGGAGCAAACGGG
This 252-nucleotide ribosomal RNA is filed under the name uncultured bacterium. RNAcentral describes it as "partial 16S ribosomal RNA". It matches the Rfam family "Bacterial small subunit ribosomal RNA", at positions 524 to 776 of the family's 1533-position model. The record is from RNAcentral.